This 465-nucleotide ribosomal RNA is filed under the name Vreelandella stevensii. RNAcentral describes it as "partial 16S ribosomal RNA". It matches the Rfam family "Bacterial small subunit ribosomal RNA", at positions 338 to 795 of the family's 1533-position model. Lineage: Bacteria; Pseudomonadati; Pseudomonadota; Gammaproteobacteria; Oceanospirillales; Halomonadaceae. The record is from RNAcentral.
CCUACGGGGUGCUGCAGUGGGGAAUAUUGGACAAUGGGCGAAAGCCUGAUCCAGCCAUGCCGCGUGUGUGAAGAAGGCCUUCGGGUUGUAAAGCACUUUCAGUGGGGAAGAAAGCCUUGGGGCUAAUACCCUCGAGGAAGGACAUCACCCACAGAAGAAGCACCGGCUAACUCCGUGCCAGCAGCCGCGGUAAUACGGAGGGUGCGAGCGUUAAUCGGAAUUACUGGGCGUAAAGCGCGCGUAGGCGGUCUGAUAAGCCGGUUGUGAAAGCCCCGGGCUCAACCUGGGAACGGCAUCCGGAACUGUCAGGCUAGAGUGCAGGAGAGGAAGGUAGAAUUCCCGGUGUAGCAGUGAAAUGCGUAGAGAUCGGGAGGAAUACCAGUGGCGAAGGCGGCCUUCUGGACUGACACUGACGCUGAGGUGCGAAAGCGUGGGUAGCAAACAGGAUUAGAUACCCCAGUAGUC